This 247-nucleotide ribosomal RNA is filed under the name uncultured bacterium. RNAcentral's name for it is "partial 16S ribosomal RNA". It matches the Rfam family "Bacterial small subunit ribosomal RNA", at positions 523 to 769 of the family's 1533-position model. The record is from RNAcentral.
AUACGUAGGGAGCGAGCGUUGUCCGGAUUUACUGGGUGUAAAGGGUGCGUAGGCGGGACUGCAAGUCAGACGUGAAAUACCGAGGCUUAACCUCGGGGCUGCGUUUGAAACUGAUGGUCUUGAGUGCUGGAGAGGAAAGCGGAAUUCCUAGUGUAGCGGUGAAAUGCGUAGAUAUUAGGAGGAACACCAGUGGCGAAGGCGGCUUUCUGGACAGUAACUGACGCUGAGGCGCGAAAGCGUGGGGAGC